This 762-nucleotide ribosomal RNA is filed under the name Vibrio sp. a32 JRLF-2009. RNAcentral describes it as "bacterial SSU rRNA". It matches the Rfam family "Bacterial small subunit ribosomal RNA", at positions 309 to 1064 of the family's 1533-position model. The record is from RNAcentral. RNAcentral also lists the same sequence under 1 other name. Lineage: Bacteria; Pseudomonadati; Pseudomonadota; Gammaproteobacteria; Vibrionales; Vibrionaceae.
CACACUGGACUGAGACACGGUCCAGACUCCUACGGGAGGCAGCAGUGGGGAAUAUUGCACAAUGGGCGCAAGCCUGAUGCAGCCAUGCCGCGUGUGUGAAGAAGGCCUUCGGGUUGUAAAGCACUUUCAGUCGUGAGGAAGGUAGUGUAGUUAAUAGCUGCAUUAUUUGACGUUAGCGACAGAAGAAGCACCGGCUAACUCCGUGCCAGCAGCCGCGGUAAUACGGAGGGUGCGAGCGUUAAUCGGAAUUACUGGGCGUAAAGCGCAUGCAGGUGGUUUGUUAAGUCAGAUGUGAAAGCCCGGGGCUCAACCUCGGAAUUGCAUUUGAAACUGGCAGACUAGAGUACUGUAGAGGGGGGUAGAAUUUCAGGUGUAGCGGUGAAAUGCGUAGAGAUCUGAAGGAAUACCGGUGGCGAAGGCGGCCCCCUGGACAGAUACUGACACUCAGAUGCGAAAGCGUGGGGAGCAAACAGGAUUAGAUACCCUGGUAGUCCACGCCGUAAACGAUGUCUACUUGGAGGUUGUGGCCUUGAGCCGUGGCUUUCGGAGCUAACGCGUUAAGUAGACCGCCUGGGGAGUACGGUCGCAAGAUUAAAACUCAAAUGAAUUGACGGGGGCCCGCACAAGCGGUGGAGCAUGUGGUUUAAUUCGAUGCAACGCGAAGAACCUUACCUACUCUUGACAUCCAGAGAACUUUCCAGAGAUGGAUUGGUGCCUUCGGGAACUCUGAGACAGGUGCUGCAUGGCUGUCGUCAGCUCGUG